CCUACGGGAGGCAGCAGUGGGGAAUAUUGCACAAUGGGCGCAAGCCUGAUGCAGCCAUGCCGCGUGUAUGAAGAAGGCCUUCGGGUUGUAAAGUACUUUCAGCGGGGAGGAAGGUGUUGAGGUUAAUAACCUCAGCAAUUGACGUUACCCGCAGAAGAAGCACCGGCUAACUCCGUGCCAGCAGCCGCGGUAAUA
Molecule: ribosomal RNA, 195 nt
Filed under: uncultured bacterium
Lineage: Bacteria
Description: partial 16S ribosomal RNA
Rfam family: Bacterial small subunit ribosomal RNA
Source: RNAcentral